AACUAAUUGAGGCUGAAUUCUAGCCUCCCGACUUCUGACCUAUUGUCUCUGCUGGUUGAUUUUUGGCAGGGAAAGAUAAAAUGGACAGAACUGGCUGGUUCUGUGAGGCUGAGAACUCAAGAAACCGACAGAGAUCACUCUACAUAUUUCAGAGAUCAUUUCUUCCAUGAAACCUCUGAUCAUCCUCAACCAAGUGUAAAAAAGAGAGUAACUGUGACUUAAAGUAAAAUGACUGGUCGUUCCAGAGUGAGAAGGAGGAAAAGCAAGAAUGGAUAAGAGUGUUGCAGAAAAGGAAUCUUGGGAGAUUCAUGGAAAAGACUCUGAGAACAACUCUGGAAUACAGAUUUCUGAUAACUUGAAGAUCAUGGAGCUGAAUGGGAGAAGAAUUUCCAGAACUAAUGGAAAAACUGGAUUCAAGAAAAUGAGAAUAAAA
Molecule: long non-coding RNA, 433 nt
Organism: Herpailurus yagouaroundi (jaguarundi)
Lineage: Eukaryota; Metazoa; Chordata; Mammalia; Carnivora; Felidae
Exons: 4
Source: RefSeq, a predicted model, not a curated record